Suillus placidus is the source of this 82-nucleotide non-coding RNA. NCBI's taxonomy places the organism in Eukaryota, Fungi, Basidiomycota, Agaricomycetes, Boletales, Suillaceae. The record is from the annotation of a GenBank genome assembly.
GGGCACUUGGCACAGUUGGUAGCGCGCACGCUUCGCAUAAGUAGAUUGCGUGAGGUCGUGGGUUCAACUCCCACAGUGUCCA